GUAAAAAUUCUUGCCAAAUGACGUUAACGGUAAUUUUUAGUGCAUGACGAUAAAAUGUACACUUUCUCUUAGACGAUAAAAAAUCAGCUGAAUUUGACGAAUUACGCUAUUUUUUUUCUCAAAAAUAACGGUAACGAUAAUUAUUUGAGACAUCUGACGAAUCACGAUAAGGAUAUUUUGACGAAUCACGGUAAAAUUUUAACCAAUUUGACGCUAAUGGUAGCCGAAAAUGACCGUUUGACGCCUGACGGUAAAGGGCAUUAUCACCCUCAUAU
Molecule: long non-coding RNA, 275 nt
Filed under: Mytilus galloprovincialis (Mediterranean mussel)
Lineage: Eukaryota; Metazoa; Mollusca; Bivalvia; Mytilida; Mytilidae
Source: RNAcentral